CCAAUUUUAUAGCAAGAUGCGCAUCAGAUCAAACAGGGCUGUGCCAUGUGAGAACGAUUUACGAUGAUUAUGUAUUACAAAAUAGAAUAAUCAGAAUAACAUUACAAUAAGAUAAAGAGUGAGGAAAACUACAUUUUAGAACUUAGAAAAUUCAUUUAAUAGAAUUAUGGACCGCAAAAAUGUGCUCAAGCUUCUCGCCGGCACGGUUGUUACUCUCCAUUUAGGCUUUUAUUUCGUUAAGCCGCUCAUUCUGCCUCCUACGGACAAAAGUCAAACGACUUCUGCGCCGGAAAGACCUUCUUACCGCUAGAAUUGCGUUUUUUCGUGUGUUAGGCUAUCAAAAGCUGUGAUAUAUAUUAAAUUCAACAUGUUGAUUUGAUUGAUUGAAUAUAAUUAUUGAAAAGAAUAAUAAA
This is a long non-coding RNA of Armigeres subalbatus, 413 nucleotides long. RefSeq lists it as uncharacterized. The transcript has 2 exons. NCBI's taxonomy places the organism in Eukaryota, Metazoa, Arthropoda, Insecta, Diptera, Culicidae. The record is from RefSeq and is a predicted model, not a curated record.